UUCAUGGUAGUUUACUUUCACACCUCAUGGCAGACAGGAAUGCGUAAUUUUUUUCUUGCACGGUGAUGUAUAAGAUAAAGCCUUUAUUAUCUGUGUUAAACUCCUGCAGAUGGUGUUGGCUAAUCAUUCACAGGAAGUCUGAUCCAUUCCAGAUGUGCCAGCUGUCGGUUGCAGAAAAGACUUUUUAUUCAUUUGAGUGAUGAAAUGAACAAAGGAAAGAAAGAUAUUAUCUUAAGAUAUCAGAGAAGAUGGUUGAUCUCACAGGUAGGUGCUUUUACUUCCUGAUCGGCUGCUGGGAAUGACUGCAGCACACAAACCGGUUCUGCUGGUUGAAGCUCGGACUACAAGAAUGUAAACCUGACAGUGACACUGAUCUUCAUCCACAGAUGAUGCGGCUCUCUCGGCUCUGGAGUCCAGCCUGCACAAAGAAGUCAAGGCUCUUCUCAAAGGGAUGAGCAGCCGAGGUGCAUCCCAGAAAGAUCCAUAAAACAAGAUCCCACAUGCAUAUCAUCCCAAUACUGCACACUCUCUACUAUACCGUUAUUCAGUCAGGUUCCAUGAUUCCUAUCAGCGUUUACCAGAGAGUGUACGAGUGUUUGAUGAAGCUGCUCAUGUUACCACAGCCUCACUCUGCUGUGGCCCUCAGCACUCUGCGGAGCAUCAAGAUGGAAAUGACCA
Seriola aureovittata is the source of this 678-nucleotide long non-coding RNA. RefSeq lists it as uncharacterized. The record is from RefSeq and is a predicted model, not a curated record. NCBI's taxonomy places the organism in Eukaryota, Metazoa, Chordata, Actinopteri, Carangiformes, Carangidae. The transcript has 3 exons.